This 562-nucleotide long non-coding RNA is filed under the name Oryctolagus cuniculus (rabbit). RNAcentral's name for it is "lncRNA (ENSOCUG00000030381.1)". Lineage: Eukaryota; Metazoa; Chordata; Mammalia; Lagomorpha; Leporidae. The record is from RNAcentral.
UUCUCUGCUGGAGAGCUGGCACCCAUCUGGACUGGAAUUAAAAAUCCCUCAUUCCCUGCCAGAAGCCAAAACAAAUGAAAGGCAGCAUCAAGAGUUGGCUGUGAUCCUGGAUCUAAGUUGGGGCACUUAGGGCCUUGCCAAGGGACUCGGAUGGGCUUCCCCAGAGUUGCGUGAGCGCCUUGAGCCUGCGAUGGUGCGAGAAGCUGGCCUGCCCAUCUCUAAGGCGCUCAGUCAGAAGAAGGACCUUUCUGAAGAACAGGCUGAGGCGAGGUUGUCAGAAGGAGAGCACACCUGGAAGGGAUCCUGGCCUCCAGGCUGGAGUGCUCUUCUGGAACAAUGUGGUAAUCAAACAGGAACAGGCAAACCUCCGCGACAACGCAAUCCUGGAUCCAAUUCGUUGUGUUUUCUAUUGAGCUCCCUUUCAUGAUUCUUUUCUUGGGUACUUCUGAACACAUCUCCCACUCAGACAAUCAAGCAAUGUGCACCGUGUUUCACAGAGUGAACUUAUGAGCCAAACUGUAAUGAAAUAAUAAAAAUAGAAAUAAUCAUGGGAAGAAUGUCA